RNAcentral lists this ribosomal RNA (433 nucleotides) under uncultured bacterium. RNAcentral describes it as "partial 16S ribosomal RNA". It matches the Rfam family "Bacterial small subunit ribosomal RNA", at positions 29 to 507 of the family's 1533-position model. The record is from RNAcentral.
AGCGAACGCUGGCGGCAGGCCUAACACAUGCAAGUCGAACGAACUCUUCGGAGUUAGUGGCGGACGGGUGAGUAACACGUGGGAACGUGCCUUUUGGUUCGGAAUAACUCAGGGAAACUUGUGCUAAUACCGAAUGUGCCCUUCGGGGGGAAGAUUUAUCGCCAUUAGAGCGGCCCGCGUCUGAUUAGCUAGUUGGUUAGGUAACGGCUCACCAAGGCGACGAUCAGUAACUGGGCUGAGAGGCUGACCAGCCACACUGGGACUGGGACACGGCCCAGACUCCUACGGGAGGCAGGAAUGGGGGACGGUGCGCCAUGGGCGGAAGCCUGACGGAGCCAGGCCCGGUGAAUGAUGAAGGUCGUAGGGUUGUAAAAUUCUUGUAACGGGGCAGAUAAUGACGGUACCCGGAGAAGAAGCCCCGGCUAACUUCGUG